ACCGGCGGCUCGAGUGGUGGCCAAUAUUACUGGGCUUAAAGCGUUCGUAGCUGGCUUGUUAAGUCUCUGGGGAAAUCUCCCGGCUCACAACAAAUGCGUCUCAGGGAUACUGGCAGGCUAGGGACCGGAAGAGGUGAGAGGUACUCCAGGGGUCGGAGUGAAAUCCUGUAAUCCUUGGGGGACCACCUGUGGCGAAGGCGUCUCACCAGGACGGCUCCGACAGUGAGGAACGAAAGCUGGGGGAGCAAACCG
Molecule: ribosomal RNA, 252 nt
Filed under: uncultured prokaryote
Description: partial 16S rRNA
Rfam family: Archaeal small subunit ribosomal RNA
Source: RNAcentral